Molecule: non-coding RNA, 4020 nt
Organism: Rattus norvegicus (Norway rat)
Lineage: Eukaryota; Metazoa; Chordata; Mammalia; Rodentia; Muridae
Source: RefSeq, a predicted model, not a curated record
GACAGGAUUUUUCUGUGUAGCCCUGGCUGUCUUGGAACUCAUUCUGUAGUCCAGGCUGGCUUUGAACUCAGAGAUCCUUCUGCUUUUACCUCCUGAGUGCUGGGAUGAAAGCUGUGUGUCACUACGUCCAUGAACAUUUAGCUUCUAAGUAAUAAUCUCAGAGUACUUUUCAAAGUAAGACAUAGAAAUGAUGGAGGGAAAGGUAUUUGAUUUGUCCCCUGAUACCUUGUUAGUUGGUAAUUGACUGACUUCACCCCCUUUUUUCUUUAGUCUGGUCACAGGUUGUUUUUGUUAACACUCAUUUUUUUUUUUUUUUUGUGUGUGUGUGUCUCAGCCUUCUUUAGCUCCAGCAGGUCACCACAGGGGAGAAGUCUGCUCUGAGAUACAGCUCAGCUGGUAGAACUCUUGCCUAGCCUGUGUGAGGUCCUGGGUUUGAUCACUGGCACCACAAGAAACUAGGUGUGUGUGGGGAGCAUGUCUAAUUUCAAGAGUAGGGGACGGAGCCAGGAGGAUCAGAAGUUUAAGGUCAUUCUUACCUGAAGAGGGAGUUGAGGAAGUCCUGGACCAGAGAACUUGUCUAACAACCAAAGGGAAUAUUAUUAACUGAAAGAUUGAAUCAGUAUCGAGAUCUAGUGCCAAGGCAGAUAAGCAGGUACCUAGUUCCAUUUUUAGGUUUAUGAACCUUAACUUACACAGUCUUCAAGGAAAAAAUUUCUAAAAGACUUGCUAAUUUUACAGAAACAAAUGACCCAGUGAGCCUGGCUUGAACAACAAGUUUCAAGGCUCCAGCUUGACAUCACAGUACAUCUGUGCACAGUCCAGAAUGGCCACACGUAGCUCUUUCUACCUUCCCCCUUUCUUUAGCCCUAGCCCCAGAGGAGGAGCUUGAAUGGGUUUCUUCUAUGGAUAGGGUCUGAGAUGCUCUCGGGAUCUUGGCGUUUAAGGACCCUGCAAAACCUUGUGUUCUAUAAACGUUACAAAUUUGACUGAUUUUCAGGACUCUGAGCAGCAUGGCUGUGACAACAGCACUAGCCUCACCUACAGAAGCAGACUUGGUUUCAUCAAAGACGUUUCUUUUAGCCUGUUGGCAAUUACGUAUGUCUACUUAGACAGGAUUCUGGGUGAAAUCCCCAUGUCUUCAGUGUGUCAAGACACUGGACAAUCCAUCCCUUUGAUCCUCUGAGUCCCCCAGGACUGCACAUUUGGACCGUGGGGGCCUGCUCCAGUGCAAGCAGAUCCAGUGAGGAGGUGCAGGGAUCUUGACAUCCUCAAGGCAACUUUCAACCAGUGAGGGGUGUGAGGGAAUUGGGGUGGAGAGUAGACAAUGGGGGGCGGUUGGAGAGUAGACAAGUUCUCUAGGUUCCCUUUCCCACAGCAGCUCAACUGUACAAAAUUAGUUAGACAGCCUCAGUGCCUCCGUCACACUCUCCUCCCCACUGUGGACCCCUUCCUUCCCCCCUCCUCUCUUUCCUUCCAUACUUCUGUUUCCUGGGAUUACAUCCAAAGCAAACCCUCUGCCCCAGGUCUUGGACUUGCAAUCUGUUUCUAGGUUAGCCUAGACAGUUUAAAACUUCUCAUUAAGGAAAAUCAAUACCUUCGCAACUUGAUUAUGGGACAGAGAGAAGAAAGGUUUCUGCUUUACCAUCACUUGGAGCCUCACAGUCUGCCUUAAUUACCUGGAUGUUCUUGCUUCUCCCCCUCCUGACUGGCAGCCUCUCCCUCUCCAGGGAUCAUUUCCAUUGUCUCCACUCUCCAGCUAUAGCCUGGAGACUCGAGAUCAGACAGAACGGUUAUGGGGCCAUGUAAGGCAAGCAUGCUGUUGCGGGGGGUGGGGGGGGAGUAUUAUUUUAUUUCACUUUUGGAUCGACUAGUGAAGCUUUCGAAAGACACAUGGAAGCAAUCGAAAAGAGAAAGACUUUAUGUCUUUUUGGAGCAAUGCAUAUUUAUUCAAAUUAUAGUUGGAUACCGUUAUGAUAGAGGAUUUUUAGGGGAAAAAAAUCUUGGGUUUCAUUUUCAAAGCUAUAGAUUUCUUAUAUUGUAUAGUUUUGGACAGAAACAGAACGACCUAGCUUGGGGUUUCAGUUAGAAUUUUGUACUUUUCACAGGACAUUUUUUCCUACUGAAAACACAGAUUAAUUCAUUUGUCCAAGGAUCUCCACAGCAGUUCUUGUUAACAAUGGACCAACGACUGACAUGUACCUGGAUCUACUUCUGAAGUCUUUAUCCCAUCUCACUGGUGAACUGAUCUACCCUGUGCUAGGGCAAAAUCUGUUAGUGACUAGAGCUAAGUCUCAGUUUCUACUCAGGUAUUUUCUCUCAUUUUUCUUUAUUUCUGAAAUGCUGAGUAAGAAUCUUGAUGGAUUAGUUACUUUUCUUGUUCCAGAUACCUGAUAUGUUAGUUGUUUUUCCAGCAACUAUAAUAAAAUGCUCAACGAAAGCUACUCACAGAAAAAGUAAGCAUUUAAUUGGCUCAUGGUUUAAAGAGACACAUUCUGUCAUGCUGGUAAAGUCAUGGCAGCAGAAAGUGAUGAUUUCUGGCCUACAGUUGACUCUCCCCUGUCUCUUCUUUUUAAUUCAGUCUGUAAGCUCAACUCAUGGGAUUGUUCUGCCUACAGUCAGGGUAGAUCUUUCUCCCCAGCUAAACCUCUCUAGAAAUACCUUUCUAGACAUACCAACUAAUAUGUCUCCUAGGUGAUUCUAAACACAGUCAAGUUGAAAAUGAAGAUUCAGCACCCAAAGGUAUCACUUUAAAUGAUAGUAUUCCACACCUGGACCCUAAAACCUCAUAUCCACUCAUCUUAUAAAGCAAUAUACAUUUAUCUCAUCUCUAAAAACACUUCAAUCCUUAGUAGUUCCAAUACUGUUUCAAAGCAUAGGACAAAAGUCUCUUCUGAGCUUCAAAACAGUCUCUUAGCUAUGAGCCCUAGUAAAAUCAAAUCAAUUAGUUACCUCUUAUUGAUGUGCAGUAAGUAGCACAAAGAAAACAUUCUAGUUCUGAAAGGGAGGGGUAUGGGAAUAGCAAGGAAAUUAACAAUUCUUUAUCUGUUGAUGCAGCGGUUAAAAGAGCCCUCGGUGGCUACCUAGCAGUUUCAACUUUGAGUUGAGUUCAUUAGAACCAUUGUUGUGCCCCCCAACGCCCCCACCCCAGCAGUAAGAGUUAUUACCUUAGGACCAAGACUUCUAUAUUAGUAGAGUCCAAAGUUGUAGUGAUAGAACGCAGAUGUUUUUCUAGACGAUCUCUGGGGUUAAUAGUGAGAAGAGCCCUUAUACAAUGGCUCCCCUCCUGAUAUCCAACUCCCAUGAAUCAUGGUGAUGGGAGAAACCAAUAUCAUCAUACACUGAUUACUGACUACAGUAGUCACAGUCUCCAUCCUAGACGGUGCUUUCCCUGCUUUGAAAGUCGUUGCCCUCUAGAUGACACCAUAAAGGAGUCUUUGAAUGUCCAUCUCACUGCACCGGCAGGCUGGUUAUUUCUAGGUGAUGGAGAGUAAGAGAAGAACAAGCAAAUUUCAUGAGCACAGGCCUUUUCUAUGCUUUCACUCGUGACCAAGUAACUCCUUAGGAAUAAAUAGUGCAGAUAUAUCAUGCUAAUGGUAUCCACAAACGGUCGUUUCAGUGAAAGAAUUGCAGGCAGGAAAAGAAGGUCAUAACCAGAGCAACUGUCUCCUUCAAUAAAGCAAAGCACUACUCUUGGUACGAUUGGAGGAGUGAACCCACUAAAUCAAUCUGCUACUAGGGGUCUGUCUGGUGCUCUGGGGAACUAGAUCACACGGGGUCUUAACUUUAAAUGCUUAGCAUUGCUAGCUAGAGCCAGAUUGAUGUUAGAGAGUGGAAAGCCAUAAUGCUCAGUCGACACCUACCUUCCAACCCUGCUGUUACUGUUCAUGAACCUAUUGGGCAACGGUGAGAGUGGACAAACAAUUGGUUUGGAACACUGGAAGGUUGGUGUGUCUAGAAAGGCAAUCUGUAUGGUGGAAAUUCUUUUAAAGUCUGUUUUAAGUAAAAUUAUUUUACAAUGUA